RNAcentral lists this ribosomal RNA (426 nucleotides) under uncultured bacterium. RNAcentral describes it as "partial 16S ribosomal RNA". It matches the Rfam family "Bacterial small subunit ribosomal RNA", at positions 354 to 796 of the family's 1533-position model. The record is from RNAcentral.
GUGGGGAAUCUUGCGCAAUGGGCGAAAGCCUGACGCAGCAACGCCGCGUGGGGGAUGAAGGCUCUCGGGUUGUAAACCCCUUUCAGCAGGGACGAAUCAAGACGGUACCUGCAGAAGAAGUCCCGGCUAACUACGUGCCAGCAGCCGCGGUAACACGUAGGGGGCAAGCGUUGUCCGGAUUUAUUGGGCGUAAAGAGCUCGUAGGUGGCUGAGUAAGUAGGAUGUCAAAUCCCCAGGCUCAACCUGGGAUCCCAUCCGAUACUGCUCUGGCUAGAGUCCGGUAGGGGAGCGUGGAAUUCCUGGUGUAGCGGUGAAAUGCGCAGAUAUCAGGAGGAACACCAGCGGCGAAGGCGGCGCUCUGGGCCGGUACUGACACUGAGGAGCGAAAGCGUGGGUAGCAAACAGGAUUAGAUACCCCGGUAGUCC